RNAcentral lists this ribosomal RNA (639 nucleotides) under uncultured Actinomycetes bacterium. RNAcentral's name for it is "bacterial SSU rRNA". It matches the Rfam family "Bacterial small subunit ribosomal RNA", at positions 232 to 885 of the family's 1533-position model. Lineage: Bacteria; Bacillati; Actinomycetota; Actinomycetes. The record is from RNAcentral.
CGCGGCCUAUCAGCUUGUUGGCGGGGUAAUGGCCCACCAAGGCGUCGACGGGUAGCUGGUCUGAGAGGAUGAUCAGCCACACUGGGACUGAGACACGGCCCAGACUCCUACGGGAGGCAGCAGUGGGGAAUCUUGCGCAAUGGGCGAAAGCCUGACGCAGCAACGCCGCGUGCGGGAUGAAGGCCUUCGGGCUGUAAACCGCUUUCAGCAGGAACGAACAUGACGGUACCUGCAGAAGAAGGAGCGGCCAACUACGUGCCAGCAGCCGCGGUGACACGUAGGCUCCAAGCGUUGUCCGGAUUUAUUGGGCGUAAAGAGCUCGUAGGCGGUUUAGUAAGUCGGGUGUGAAAACUCUGGGCUUAACCCAGAGACGCCAUCCGAUACUGCUGUGACUUGAGUUCAGGAGGGGAGCGGGGAAUUCCUAGUGUAGCGGUGAAAUGCGCAGAUAUUAGGAGGAACACCGGUGGCGAAGGCGCCGCUCUGGACUGAAACUGACGCUGAGGAGCGAAAGCAUGGGUAGCAAACAGGAUUAGAUACCCUGGUAGUCCAUGCCGUAAACGGUGGGCACUAGGCGUGGGUUUCAACUAACGAAAUCCGCGCCGUCGCUAACGCAUUAAGUGCCCCGCCUGGGGAGUACGG